GACCAAUGGGGAGCGAGUGGGCGGGGAGAGAGUGACGGUUGGAGGAGGAGGAGAAGCGCGGACAUGGCGGCGGCGGUGAGGAGUUGAGCAGUCGGGGAGGGAGCGGCCCCGAGAGGCGGGACAACUCGGCGCUGAUGGCGGAUCGGUUUGUUUCUGGUGGGAAAUGGCGUUGUGGCCGCACCUUCUCGAGCUGCUGGUGACCGGGAGCAGCUGUUUUGCAGAGAGAGAGAGAGAGAGAGAUGGAGCACUGGUGGGCAGCGCCUCCCCGUCUGUCCCCCCGUCCCCCGCUGCUUGUUUCUCAGCCCUGAGGUGUCUGUCCCUUCAAACAGCAGUUGGUCUGUGAUCCCCACUCACACAGCCACGUCCUGGUUUGGGGGAAAGUCCCAAACAGAGCAAAGAGCUGAUGGUGAAAUGGCGUCUGAACAGGAACUGGAGAACCUGAGAAAUGAAGCCACGUGUUCAAUCUGUCUGGAGUUUUAUACGGAUCCGGUGACUGUGACCACAGCUUCUGCAGAACUGUAUUUUACAGUGUUGGGGCACAGAACAAGAAAGUGUGUCCUGUCCACAGUGCAGGCAGCAGAUUCCCCAGAGGGGUGUUCGGCCCAACAGAACUCUGUCUAACAUUGUGGAGAGUGUUCAGAGACUGAGCCUGAAUCUGAGGCUGGAAGAGGUGGGAAUCCAGUGUGAAGAGCAUGAGGAGAAGCUGAAACUGUUUUGUGAAAUGGAUCAAAGAGCGAUCUGUGUGGUCUGUGCGAUGUCCCGUGAUCACAAGGAUCACACAGUCAUUCCCAUCAAGGAAGCUGCUGAGCUCUGCAAGCAAAAGCUGCAGAAAGCCCUGGAACCCUUCACAAACAGUUGGAUGAAAUGUCUCGGUGUCAGAGAGAAGAAGGAGCAGCUGAACUGGAAGUGAAGAGACAAGCCGAGCAUUUGAGGAAGAACAUCGACGCUGAAUUUGCUUAACGUCACCAGCUGCUGACUGAGGAGCAGCGAGACCUGAUCACCAAACUCAGACUGCAGGAGGAGGCCAUCGUGGGCCAAAUAGAAAACAAUAAGAGCCACAUUUCCAAGCAAAUUACUUCUAUUAAUCAGAGAAUAGCAGAAAUCCAGAAAAGACUGACUCUGCAGAACACCGAAUUCCUGAAGGAUAUCAAAUCCAUCAUUGACAGGUCUGUAAUCUUUCCUUCUGUCCAUCUAGUUUGUGACAUU
Callorhinchus milii (elephant shark) is the source of this 1206-nucleotide long non-coding RNA. RefSeq lists it as uncharacterized. The transcript is spliced from 6 exons. The record is from RefSeq and is a predicted model, not a curated record. Lineage: Eukaryota; Metazoa; Chordata; Chondrichthyes; Chimaeriformes; Callorhinchidae.